AUGAUAGUUUGUUUGGAAUUAUUGCUCUCUGGAGGUGACUGGCGUUGGUCAAGACACGGGUUUGUUGGUCAGUUUAGGACAGGCCCUGGUGCGUUGAAGUUAUAUUGUGUGUGUUCGAGUUGGAGUGGUGUUUGCUUCUCACCGAGCUGUGAUGGAAGCUUGCUUGAAUUUCUUGUAUUUUAUCAUCUGCCUUCUAUAAAAUUAAGGCACUCAAGUUGCAGGUUAAAAAAAAGAUGGACCAAAAUGAUAAUCCGAACAACUGUUCUUAUAAAGCUAUGGUUCGGUGAAGAGCAGCUCAAAGCGAUCAAAAAUCAAUCUUUUCUUAUUCUUUUACAACUAGACUAG
This 345-nucleotide ribosomal RNA is filed under the name Triticum aestivum (bread wheat). RNAcentral's name for it is "partial small subunit ribosomal RNA". Lineage: Eukaryota; Viridiplantae; Streptophyta; Magnoliopsida; Poales; Poaceae. The record is from RNAcentral.